CCUACGGGCGGCAGCAGUGAGGAAUAUUGGUCAAUGGGCGCGAGCCUGAACCAGCCAAGUCGCGUGAGGGAAGACGGUCCUAUGGAUUGUAAACCUCUUUUGUCGGGGAGCAAAAGACGCCACGCGUGGCGUUCCGAGAGUACCCGAAGAAAAAGCAUCGGCUAACUCCGUUCCAGCAGCCGCAGUAAUUCGGAGGAUGCGAGCGUUAUCCGGAGUGAGUGGGUUAAAGGGGUGCGCAGGCGGAAGAUCAAUUCAGCGGUAAAAUUGAGAGGCUCAACCACUUCGAGCCGUUGAAACUGGUUUUCUUGAGUGAGUGAGAAGUAUGCGGAAUGCGUGGUGUAGCGGUGAAAUGCGUAGAUAUCACGCAGAACUCCGAUUGCGAAGGCAGCAUACCGGCGCUCAACUGACGCUCAUGCACGAAAGUGUGGGUAUCGAACAGGAUUAGAUACCCGUGUAGUC
This 459-nucleotide ribosomal RNA is filed under the name uncultured bacterium. RNAcentral's name for it is "partial 16S ribosomal RNA". It matches the Rfam family "Bacterial small subunit ribosomal RNA", at positions 338 to 795 of the family's 1533-position model. The record is from RNAcentral.